UACGAAGGGGGCUAGCGUUGCUCGGAAUUACUGGGCGUAAAGCGCACGUAGGCGGCUUUCUAAGUCGGGGGUGAAAUCCUGGAGCUCAACUCCAGAACUGCCUUCGAUACUGGCGAUCUUGAGUCCGGAAGAGGUGAGUGGAACUCCUAGUGUAGAGGUGGAAUUCGUAGAUAUUAGGAAGAACACCAGUGGCGAAGGCGGCUCACUGGUCCGGUACUGACGCUGAGG
This 228-nucleotide ribosomal RNA is filed under the name uncultured bacterium. RNAcentral's name for it is "partial 16S ribosomal RNA". It matches the Rfam family "Bacterial small subunit ribosomal RNA", at positions 524 to 751 of the family's 1533-position model. The record is from RNAcentral.